RNAcentral lists this ribosomal RNA (274 nucleotides) under uncultured bacterium. RNAcentral's name for it is "partial 16S ribosomal RNA". It matches the Rfam family "Bacterial small subunit ribosomal RNA", at positions 523 to 796 of the family's 1533-position model. The record is from RNAcentral.
AUACAGAGGGUGCGAGCGUUAAUCGGAAUUACUGGGCGUAAAGCGCGCGUAGGCGGCUUGGUCAGUCGGAUGUGAAAGCCCCGGGCUCAACCUGGGAAUGGCAUUCGAUACUGCCAGGCUAGAGUAUGGGGGAGGGAAGUGGAAUUUCCGGUGUAGCGGUGAAAUGCGUAGAUAUCGGAAGGAACACCAGUGGCGAAGGCGACUUCCUGGCCCAAUACUGACGCUGAGGUGCGAAAGCGUGGGGAGCGAACAGGAUUAGAAACCCUAGUAGUCC